UUUGAAGUCCAAAGAAAUUUUAUUUAACUCAAACCAGCAUCAAGCAAACUGUCUAAACCAGGAGACAAAAGUUCAUUGUAGCAAUCCAGAAAACAUGAAAUUCUUGCCAUCAAGUGGGCAAUUCUUUUUGCUUGCUAACAUAGUGAACAAAUACAUUAUCAAAGUCUGCUAAUAUGUCAAAACAGAAUCUGUCUCUAUACUUACAUCAGUGAGUUGUUGAGAAAAGAUGCUUCUACUUGAAAAGCUGAUACAUUCCCUCAUGAUUUUUCCUUGGAGAAAUGAUCCAGAAUGGUCCCCAAGAACCAUACCAACGUGCUCCUACAUACCUUGAGCUUGCCAACAGGAGGUACCACCUAUCUUUGACUUUCGGUUUGUGUUCUAGAAUUCAUCCCAGAUGGCUUACCAACUUGUUUAAUCCUAGCUUUGUGCCAUUUCUGUAAUCAUAUUCCGGCACCAGUCCAUCGCAUCUCUCACACUGGCACUUUUAUUCUCCCAGACCAUCAUGUUUCUAAAUGUCCCCAUGGCUCUGUAGCUAGGAAGCACGGACUCUUCGUUUUGGCUGCCGUAUGCGAGUCGGACUCUCCCGACUCUCCGACUCGGCCCCGACUCUCUUUAGUGCGUAUCGGACUCGCCACGUGGCGAGUCGGCAAGAAAACAGCAGUGGACUCGCCACUGACUCGGGGGCGACACGCUUUGGACUCGACCCAAAUAGAAAAAGC
RNAcentral lists this long non-coding RNA (719 nucleotides) under Daucus carota (carrot). RNAcentral describes it as "long non-coding RNA (DCAR_LNC002745)". Lineage: Eukaryota; Viridiplantae; Streptophyta; Magnoliopsida; Apiales; Apiaceae. The record is from RNAcentral.